RNAcentral lists this ribosomal RNA (513 nucleotides) under uncultured bacterium. RNAcentral's name for it is "partial 16S ribosomal RNA". It matches the Rfam family "Bacterial small subunit ribosomal RNA", at positions 355 to 857 of the family's 1533-position model. The record is from RNAcentral.
UGGGGAAUAUUGCACAAUGGGCGCAAGCCUGAUGCAGCCAUGCCGCGUGUGUGAAGAAGGCCUUCGGGUUGUAAAGCACUUUCAGCGAGGAGGAAGGCGUUAAGGUUAAUAACCUUGGCGAUUGACGUUACUCGCAGAAGAAGCACCGGCUAACUCCGUGCCAGCAGCCGCGGUAAUACGGAGGGUGCAAGCGUUAAUCGGAAUUACUGGGCGUAAAGCGCACGCAGGCGGUUUGUUAAGUCAGAUGUGAAAUCCCCGAGCUUAACUUGGGAACUGCAUUUGAAACUGGCAAGCUAGAGUCUUGUAGAGGGGGGUAGAAUUCCAGGUGUAGCGGUGAAAUGCGUAGAGAUCUGGAGGAAUACCGGUGGCGAAGGCGGCCCCCCUGGACAAAGACUGACGCUCAGGUGCGAAAGCGUGGGGCAGCAAACAGGAUUAGAUACCCUGGUAGUCCAGCGCUGUAAACGAUGUCGAUUUGGAGGUUGUGGGCUUGACCCGUGGCUUCCGGAGCUAACG